CCUGGCGACCAUAGCGUUUUGGAACCACCUGAUCCCAUCUCGAACUCAGCAGUGAAACGAUUCAGCGCCGAUGAUAGUGUGAGGCUUCCUCAUGCGAAAGUAGGACAUCGCCAGGG
Legionella waltersii is the source of this 116-nucleotide ribosomal RNA. NCBI's taxonomy places the organism in Bacteria, Pseudomonadati, Pseudomonadota, Gammaproteobacteria, Legionellales, Legionellaceae. The record is from Rfam.